RNAcentral lists this long non-coding RNA (1154 nucleotides) under Rosa chinensis. RNAcentral's name for it is "sRNA RchiOBHm_Chr1g0325931". The record is from RNAcentral. Lineage: Eukaryota; Viridiplantae; Streptophyta; Magnoliopsida; Rosales; Rosaceae.
CUAUCAUUCUGAAAACACCAUCUUCUCAAAAGUCAAAACACUUGGCCAUCACCAUCUUCUCACUCUCCCAGUUUUAUAGUUUUUCUGUAGAAACUCCAUUUCAAUUCGUUGGUCUGGUGAUUGGGUCGGGAUUCUCCGUUGGAACGCGUUAAUGCGAAGGAUCCCUAAAUCAAAAGAGCUCUAUGGAAACCCCCAACAGAGUUUUUACGAUUAGGGCUGGCAUACUCGUCUCUCCUCUCUGUUCUCAUCGCUUCUCAUUCAUUUUCCUCUGUUGAAAUUGCUCUCAAUCGAUUGCCUGGGGUCUGUAAUCGGAGUCGGAUAAAAUUAGGGUUUGAGAUUCGCUUCGGUUUUUAUAAGGCUUCCCGAUUUCAGUCGCUAUUCAGGGCGAGACAAUAUUCUGGCAAGAGGAUUGAUACUCUGGAGCUAAGCACUAUGGAGGAUGUUGGUACUUCUUCUCCUCCAAAUAGCUCAAAGAGAUGGAUUACGAGGAAGAAAACCAGAGGUGAAAAGGUGGGUGAUAGAGAUGUAGGUCAUCAAUUGAGAUUUCUGGCAGGUUGAUUAGCAAUGGCAGCAGCAAAGUUGCUUGCUUGUAUACUUAGUAGGGCAAGAAGGAAACCAAUCAAGAUGCCAUGCUUGUUUGGAAGGGAGCAUCUAGCUUAGGAGCUCCUAGAUGGGAUAGAGAAGUGGAAGAGCAAAAGCUUAUUGGUAGUGGAGCACUGGAUUUGUAGGUACAUGCCUCCAAUGUAUGGAGCAACCAGCUGAGCACACACUGGAUUACAGAUUUGGGAAUGUGCUGAUAUAUAGACACCAUUAUAUCAGCUUCUUGCUUGUGUCAUGUUGUCAUGUUGCUCAUGGGUAGUGUGGCUUUUGAUGUGGGAGUAUUGCAUGCAGCUUCUUGAAACAAGUUGAUAUGGUGGCAGAAGCAGAAGAAAAAAAGAGGAGCAGCAGGAGCAAGCAUUAGUCGUGGCCGAAGUGGGCAAACAAUCAUAAAUAGUCCAAUAAAUACUGUUUCAUUUCUAGCAACUAAUGUCUUUGCCCUUGAUGCAAUGUUAAACAAUAAAUUGUCACCUAUUCAUGAUUUUGUGGAACAAUGAUUAAUAUGAAUUGUAUCUUGGUGGAUCCAAUGUAUUUUGAAGUUUAAAAUAUGGUUGGAG